UACGUAGGGGGCAAGCGUUGUCCGGAAUUAUUGGGCGUAAAGAGCUCGUAGGCGGUUCGGCAAGUCGGAUGUGAAAUCUCCACGCUUAACGUGGAGGGGCCAUUCGAAACUGCUGUGACUCGAGUCCGGUAGGGGAGUGUGGAAUUCCCGGUGUAGCGGUGAAAUGCGCAGAUAUCGGGAGGAACACCAGUGGCGAAGGCGGCGAUCUGGGAAGAUACUGACGCUGAGGUGCGAAAGCGUGGGGAGCAAACAGG
This 254-nucleotide ribosomal RNA is filed under the name uncultured bacterium. RNAcentral's name for it is "partial 16S ribosomal RNA". It matches the Rfam family "Bacterial small subunit ribosomal RNA", at positions 524 to 776 of the family's 1533-position model. The record is from RNAcentral.